GACGAACGCUGGCGGCGUGCUUAACACAUGCAAGUCGAACGGUAAGGCCCUUUCGGGGGUACACGAGUGGCGAACGGGUGAGUAACACGUGAGUAACCUGCCCUGGACUCUGGGAUAAGCAUUCGAAAGGGUGUCUAAUACUGGAUAGGACCUGUGGCCGCAUGGUUGUGGGUGUAAAGAUUUUUCGGUCUGGGAUGGGCUCGCGGCCUAUCAGCUUGUUGGUGGGGUGAUGGCCUACCAAGGCGGUGACGGGUAGCCGGCCUGAGAGGGCGACCGGCCACACUGGGACUGAGAUACGGCCCAGACUCCUACGGGAGGCAGCAGUGGGGAAUAUUGCGCAAUGGGCGGAAGCCUGACGCAGCAACGCCGCGUGCGGGAUGACGGCCUUCGGGUUGUAAACCGCUUUCACUCAUGACGAAGCUUUUGUGACGGUAGUGGGGGAAGAAGCACCGGCCAACUACGUG
This 464-nucleotide ribosomal RNA is filed under the name uncultured organism. Its description in RNAcentral is "bacterial SSU rRNA". It matches the Rfam family "Bacterial small subunit ribosomal RNA", at positions 28 to 507 of the family's 1533-position model. The record is from RNAcentral.